Molecule: ribosomal RNA, 260 nt
Filed under: uncultured bacterium
Lineage: Bacteria
Description: partial 16S ribosomal RNA
Rfam family: Bacterial small subunit ribosomal RNA
Source: RNAcentral
CGUGGCGGACGGGUGAGUAACGCGUGAACAAUCUGCCUAUGUCAGGGGAAUAACGCUGAGAAAUCGGCGCUAAUACCGCAUAAGACCACGGAAGGGCAUCCUUCAGAGGUAAAAGAUUUAUCGGACAUAGAUGAGUUCGCGUCCCAUUAGGUAGUUGGUGAGGUAACGGCCCACCAAGCCGACGAUGGGUAGCCGACCUGAGAGGGUGAUCGGCCACAUUGGAACUGAGACACGGUCCAAACUCCUACGGAAGGCAGCAG